UUCAGCUUGUAAAACUAGUGUCCUUUUCCAAAUUUUCUCUUCUUUAUGUUGAAGCUGUUACUGUUUGUAGCCAAAAAUUACUUGUUCUCCACCCCCAUUUCAGCACUGUUAUAUCUAUGCUCUUCAACCCCAACUAGCUGAAACAACUCUAAUCACCUAUUUUUACUGUUUGAGUUAGGGAGUGUUCACAGGACUCAUUUUGCCAGAAGAGCUGAAAUGCUUGCAGAAAGGAAAAAGAGAAAGGGAUACAAACUCAGAGCUGCAAAAUAGCAGCUGAACAUGAUAAUAUCAUCAGCUGGCAGAGGUGGCUGCACACUGAGCAUCUGUCCAUAGCCUAAAAUGACUGUUUUGUUCGGGGAUUUGUUUGUUUGUUGGUUGGAGUUUUGGUUUGUUACGCUGCAGGAUCACUCCUAACUGCAAAUACAAUUAAGAAAGAAACUUCAGAAAAAGAACACUAAGUCCUAUGGUUUUUAAUUCCCCAUUGGGUUUUAGGAAGAAGUAGUUUGUGGCAAACAAGGAAGACAAACUUGAAUCCUUUGCUGCAUCCUUCCUCCUGUUUAAGAAGAUUUGUGAUUCUACAUCUAAAUCCAAGAACUUUCCACGUGGCCCUGAGGCACCAGCCUGACAAUCCCUGUCGGAUGAUUUAGGCUCAUCUGAGAAAAGAACAGGAGGACAAAACAUUCUUACACCUGCCUGUGAGCUUAUUCGUUGAGAGUGGCCUGUGGGAAGUCUGCUGCUCUGCUGUGGAUUUCUGGUCUCUGGGACACAUGGUCUGUGGGGCUGACUGCACUCAGGAUACAACACCUUGUAGAGGAAGUGCUGUGAUUUGCUGAAAAAAAUCGUUCAGGCAUAAGAGGAGAGAAAGAAGUUGUAAAAGUUAAAGCAAGAUCCUCAAGAGGCAUCAGCACUGCCAGCGUCUCUGAGUUCAGUGUGUAGCCUCUUUUCUCAGCACAUUUGCUUUGGGCAAAACUAUAAUAAUAAUUCAUCAGCUGAAGUAGGGGCUGUAGUUUGGUUUUGAAUCCUGCUCUCCUGGCACCAGCAGCAUUUUCACAUGGGCUGAAGCUCUUAUGGCUGUUCUCAUCUAACUUGGUCGAGCAGACUAAAAGGAAAAGAAAUGCAGCUGAAUUCUGAGGGAUCAGGGAAGAGCAUGUGGGAAGGAAAGAGAGAGGAUAUUGCAGGUCGGCCACUUUUGGAUUUUGAUGGAGUCUGCCUCCUGUAAAGAAUGAAUAAUUUAACCACCCACGCCCCAUAACCAUUUAAAUUACAGUCUUCCUGUUAUUGUAAAGCAAUGUCUCAAAGGAAUAAAUAAAGUUGACAAAAAUAGUCUUCAUAAGGGUUGACACUGAUUACAUCAGACUGAACUCCCUCACUGAUGGGGCUCGUCCACCUUUAAAUGUCAUCAUGAGAUGACACCUGUCUAUCCUGCUGUCAUUCUGAACAGAGAAUAAGUCUCUGUUCCCAGUGGCUUCUUUUCCUAACAAGACCAAUUCUAAGUCAUAAAGCACAGGAUGACAAGUCCUAAACCAGCACAAAGUGAAUGGUUUCUUGUUACUCCUACUCAUAGUAGGAGGGGGGGAAACCACUAAGAGGAGGAGUGAAGGGGAUCUUCAUGGCAGAUAAAUUUAAAAUAAAUAAAAUGCUGGAUGUUGGUUCUGUAAAAUUAACUUCUGCAGAAGACCACGUAGGAGAAUGAAGUGACAGAUAUUACACAGAAAUUCUUUCCUGUGAGGGUGGUGAGGCACUGGCACAAGUUGCCCAGAGAAGUUGUGGACUCCCUGCCAUUGGAAGUUCAAGGCCAGGCUGGAUGGGGCUUUGAGUAACCUGGCCAAGCUGUCCCUGCCCAUGGCAGGGGCAUUGGAACCAGCUGAUCUUUAAGGUACUUCUAACCCAAGUCAUUCUGUGAUUCUGCGACAGAAAACAUUGUCACUUCAAUGCUUUGGAGCAAUCAGCAAUGGUAAUUCAUAGCCAACUGCUUAUCAAGGACUACUGACCUUGUGGCUCUGUACUUCAUGAAACUGGUCUGUUGGCACAUAUUUUAUUUUUUUAAUUCAUUUUUAUUGUUGAUUGUUCAUCUUUUAAGAUAAAAGGAUCAGAAGAACACAGGUACUUCCAUAUCAAAUGGAAAUCAAAGGCCUAACUAGCCCUGAAGGAGACAGCCUGUUGAGAAAACAAAUCAUGGAUGGUCUCUGUGACAUGGCUCAUCUGAAACAAAAAUGAGAAUGAUAUUCAACUUUUCUGAACAAGCCCCAAAACCUUUUUCCUUAGUCAGAAAAUAAUUUAUUUCCUGAUGACUUCCAGUUGUUUUAUUAAAUUUCUAGCACUGAGGACAAAAACAUUCCAAAAUGUGAUUGUUCACCGAAACAGAUUUUUUCCCCUAUUUUUGCUGCAGUUCAUAUUUCAUCACAGUACAAUAAAUUGACAUAGUGCCCUCAUGUCUCUUUCUCUUUGAGGGUGCCUCAGAUAUUAACAAUUCAUUUGCCACAGAGCAGCUUAACUGGCCUCCCCUGCCCAACAGCA
Molecule: long non-coding RNA, 2517 nt
Organism: Motacilla alba alba
Lineage: Eukaryota; Metazoa; Chordata; Aves; Passeriformes; Motacillidae
Exons: 5
Source: RefSeq, a predicted model, not a curated record